Molecule: long non-coding RNA, 1257 nt
Filed under: Oreochromis niloticus (Nile tilapia)
Lineage: Eukaryota; Metazoa; Chordata; Actinopteri; Cichliformes; Cichlidae
Description: lncRNA (ENSONIG00000036267.1)
Source: RNAcentral
UUGUGUUUCAGAGCCUGAAAGAGGCUGAAAACAAGCCUGAAAACGAGAAAAGAAAUAGUAGUCAUGCGACUGUGUGUUCUUUCUGUAACUUUAAGAACUGUAACUGCUCUUUCAACGUUAAUGUCAAAUUGAGCAUCCCGAAACAAUUCAGUUUAGUGUAAUGCAGAGAAAGACAGCUGCUGCUUUAAAGGCAGUACUGAUGACUAAAUUGUCAUCUUGAUUUUUUUUUCAAAUACACUCUUAGAAAGGAUGUGUUAAAAAAUGACACAAAAAAUGUGUUGUUACACUAUUAACACAUUUUGUGUGAAUUUUAACAUAACAUGUGUAAGAAAAUGUGUAAACAUUGAAAAAAUGUGUAAAAAGCUUAACACACUUGAGGAUUGAGUCAGGCUGCAUUGACUGUGGGACUUUAAUGUGUUAAAAGCAGGUUGAAGACGGCUCAGAAACAUUUGACGAUUAAAAUUUACAUUUAUUUAUUAAUUAAUUAAUUUAUGGCUGCUGGUGAUUUGUAAAGCCUCUACUCAGCUGUAUUUUUGUUACUAAUUUAUGUUUGUUGUUGUUUAACAAAGAUUUCAGAAGAGCAAAGAUGAGGACUCCUACUUCAUCCUUAAUAGUUUAACUGGAUUGGAAAUCAAAAAAAUCCUGAUUCUUCUUCCACAGAAGUUUCAUUUGUCAGUGUGGGACUGCUGAGUCACCUGAAGAAGUCAUUUCAUUCUCCACGAUGUUGAUUUACAGAAAUGUUUCACAGGAACUGAUUCCUCCCAAAGGGUGAACUAGUGUGUUUCCAUAGAUUAUCUCUGUAUGAAUGUACUUCUUAAAUGAAGGCAAGUGUUUGUCCUGUUUUGUUCCUCAGGUACAGUACGUGAUAUUAAGGGCAGGCGGUCAUCACUGGGGGAAGAAAAUCAAACUGGAAGACUGUGGAACAUGUUAAUAAAUGUUUGUGUUUAUGCCUGUGUCUUUCACAGGAGGCGCUGAAAGGUUUCCCUAAUAGUUCCUGGUGAAUCAAAGCAGGACCAUAAAGGUUGCUGGACUGCAUGAUGGCCUUACCCCUGAGCAGUCAUCCUGUUAAAGGACCAACCAGUUAGAAGCUGUUUUCAAAGUAGCUGAGCAGAUUUCAUCUCAAGUAAGCGAUUAACUGUUUGUUCAUUUGUUCUGCCACUUAAAGAGCAUUUAAGGACGUCUUUUGAGUGUCCAGUUGAAUUAAUUCUACUGGCUCUCAUGGUCAUUUGUGAUUAUGGACAUAUUUUCAUGUAUAUC